Molecule: ribosomal RNA, 254 nt
Filed under: uncultured bacterium
Lineage: Bacteria
Description: partial 16S ribosomal RNA
Rfam family: Bacterial small subunit ribosomal RNA
Source: RNAcentral
UACGUAGGGGGGCAAGCGUUGUCCGGAAUCAUUGGGCGUAAAGCGCGUGUAGGCGGCCCGGUAAGUCCGCUGUGAAAGUCCAGGGCUCAACCCUGGGAUGCCGGUGGAUACUGUCGGGCUCGAGUCCGGAAGAGGCGAGUGGAAUUCCUGGUGUAGCGGUGAAAUGCGCAGAUAUCAGGAGGAACACCAAUGGCGAAGGCAGCUCGCUGGGACGUGACUGACGCUGAGACGCGAAAGCGUGGGGAGCAAACAGG